GUCUUCGUGGCUCAGUUGGUUAGAGCGUUGGUCUCAUAAUAAUGACCCGGCCCCAGGUUGGGAUAUCCAAAGGUCGUGAGUUCGAACCUCACCGAGGACA
RNAcentral lists this transfer RNA (100 nucleotides) under [Torrubiella] hemipterigena. RNAcentral describes it as "Torrubiella hemipterigena tRNA". It matches the Rfam family "tRNA". From Rfam's summary of the family: Transfer RNA (tRNA) molecules are approximately 80 nucleotides in length. Their secondary structure includes four short double-helical elements and three loops (D, anti-codon, and T loops). The record is from Rfam by way of RNAcentral. Lineage: Eukaryota; Fungi; Ascomycota; Sordariomycetes; Hypocreales; Clavicipitaceae.